GACGGAGGGUGCAAGCGUUGUUCGGAUUGACUGGGCGUAAAGGGCGUGUAGGCGGUCGGCCAAGUCUGAUGUGAAAGCCCGAGGCUCAGCCUCGGAAGUGCGUCGGAAACUAGUCGGCUGGAGCGCGAUAGAGGAGGGUGGAAUUCCUGGUGUAGCGGUGAAAUGCGUAGAUAUCAGGAGGAACACCGGUGGCGAAGGCGGGUCUCUGGGACGAUACUGACGCUGAGGAGCGAAAGCGUGGGGAGCGAACAGG
Molecule: ribosomal RNA, 253 nt
Filed under: uncultured bacterium
Lineage: Bacteria
Description: partial 16S ribosomal RNA
Rfam family: Bacterial small subunit ribosomal RNA
Source: RNAcentral